Molecule: long non-coding RNA, 1353 nt
Filed under: Ricinus communis (castor bean)
Lineage: Eukaryota; Viridiplantae; Streptophyta; Magnoliopsida; Malpighiales; Euphorbiaceae
Description: long non-coding RNA (RCOM_LNC002512)
Source: RNAcentral
ACAAAAUAACCCUAUAUACUAUGGAUCCCUAUUCGGUUUUCGGAUCGACCUCUUUCUUCACUCUUGAAACUCAAGGAUUUGUAAAAUACGGUGACAGCCUGAGAGUUUUAAAUCUUAAUCAUCUCAUCAUCUUUCCUUUCUCAUUAUGAUUUUUGUUCUUAAAGGCAUGUUUAGGAUAUGUUCUUUUAAUCUUACUGCCUAUAUUUAGAUAUGAUUGAUUCUGCUUAUAUAAAUCUUGCUAAUAAUAUAUCUGUAUGUUUAAGGUCUAAAUCUGAUAACUUUCAUAUUAAUUGAUUGGAUUUGCAUGCUAGGGUGUUUAAUUAAGAAAUAUGCCAUGAAUAUAAUUAAGUGAAUUGAAACUGUCAUUCUAUUAGCAUGUCUUUUAGGAAAGUUUCCUAUUUCAUUAUCUGAUAAAUAUGCUAAUCUCUAUUUAAUUGCUAGCAUGUCUAGAGUUGAUUAGAUUCCCUUUAUUUUUGUUCCUUUAUGAAUAAUAAUUGAUUUAAACAUGUUAAUAUGUUGGAUUCCACAUUUGUUCUUGUUCAUGCUUAAAUUAUAGUAACUUUGCCUAAAAUGUAUAUUUUCGCAUGUUUAGCCCUGAGUCCUCUAUUUUGCAAUCUGAUUCUAUGUUUCAUCCAUUAAUUCCUCAUUAAUUGAUUUUGUCCCUUUUUUACAUAUAUGAUCGUUGUUUGGGGUGUUUUUGGAUCCUAUUUUGCUGAAAACCUGAGAAAAUGCUGAAAAUUUAUCGUUUUAUCACUCCAAUGAGCCACAAAGGCGAUCGGUUGUUCAUUCCAUAUCUACCUAAUUUUGUUGAUUUUGUCCGAUUUCACCAUUUUUGACCCGUUUUAGCUAAUUUUUCUUAUUUUAAGUUAGUAGUUGUAGGAGGAAUAUAAUUUUAUUAUCUUUUUCUUAUUUUUUGCUUUUAUUUUUGUAUCCUUGUAUUUUGUAUAAUAGUGGACAAGUAGAUGAUUGAUGGGUGAUUGCUACUCAUAAAGGCAUAGGCUUAAAAUUGAAACCUAGCAUGUAAUCAGUAGUCCAUUAGAUUUAAAAGAUGAUAAUUUGGACCUAAUCCAUAGAACUGAAAUAGACUUAGUCUCAGAAUCAUAUAGAUGUUUUCCAACAUCAAUCAAUAAAUAUUGGUGUCUCAUAUAGGAAAGCUUGACUUUGAUCAAAGAUAGUAAAGAAAAAAAUUAAUUUGUUGUUGCCAUGUUGUGGGCAUUAUGGAAAGCUAGAAAUAGCUUGCUCUUUUGGAAUAGGUCUAUUAGACAAAUGAUCAUUUGCUGGAUCGAACAAAUGAUCAUUUGCUAAUCACUUUCAUAAGAGUUCUUUACAAUCCAAAGCCUACUUGUUGCCAUU